This 551-nucleotide ribosomal RNA is filed under the name Albatrellus ovinus. Its description in RNAcentral is "SSU rRNA". It matches the Rfam family "Bacterial small subunit ribosomal RNA", at positions 398 to 951 of the family's 1533-position model. The record is from RNAcentral. Lineage: Eukaryota; Fungi; Basidiomycota; Agaricomycetes; Russulales; Albatrellaceae.
CGCGCGUGACUACGCUACUGAAUCAAUCCAAAACAUAAUAAAAAACAUUUGGUUGAAAAUGUAAGAGUAAAAUAAUGAUAUCAUCUUACGCUUAGUGCCGUCUAAAGCUGGUGCCAGAAGACUCGGUAAGGCCAGAGGCGCGAACGUUAGUCAUCUUUAUCAGGCGUAAAGGGUUUGUAGGCUGCUUUAAAAUUUUUAUAAGUUAAUUAUUUAAUGAUAAUAUAAAUAAAAUUGAAUUAAAGCUAGAAUCUUAUAGAGGUUAAUUGAAUAACGCUUAGUUCAGGGCUAAUAUCCACACAGAUUAAGUAGAAUAUUAAAGGCGAAGGCUUCUCUCCAAGUAAAGAUUGACGCUGAGACACGAAGGUGAGGAAAGGAAAUAGGAUUAGAUACCCAAAUUACCCCUCACAGUCAACGAUGAAUGGUUGUUAUUAGUGUAUAUUAGUGGCGUAGUUAAGGCAUUUACCAUUCCGCCUUGUGAGUAAGACUGCAAAGUUAAAACCAAAAAAAUUAGUCGGUUUCGAAGCAAACGAAGUGAAGCAUGUUAUUUAAUG